Molecule: ribosomal RNA, 496 nt
Filed under: uncultured bacterium
Lineage: Bacteria
Description: partial 16S ribosomal RNA
Rfam family: Bacterial small subunit ribosomal RNA
Source: RNAcentral
AUGAACGCUGGCGGCGUGCCUAAUACAUGCACGUCGAGCGAACAGACGAGGAGCUUGCUCCUCUGACGUUAGCGGCGGACGGGUGAGUAACACGUGGAUAACCUACCUAUAAGACUGGGAUAACUUCGGGAAACCGGAGCUAAUACCGGAUAAUAUAUUGAACCGCAUGGUUCAAUAGUGAAAGACGGUUUUGCUGUCACUUAUAGAUGGAUCCGCGCCGCAUUAGCUAGUUGGUAAGGUAACGGCUUACCAAGGCAACGAUGCGUAGCCGACCUGAGAGGGUGAUCGGCCACACUGGAACUGAGACACGGUCCAGACUCCUACGGGAGGCAGCAGUAGGGAAUCUGCCGCAAUGGGCGAAAGCUUGACGGAGCAACGCCGCGUGAGUGAUGAAGGUCUUCGGAUCGUAAAACUCUGUUAUUAGGGAAGAACAAAUGUGUAAGUAACUAUGCACGUCUUGACGGUACCUAAUCAGAAAGCCACGGCUAACUACGUG